UACGUAGGGGGCGAGCGUUGUCCGGAUUUAUUGGGCGUAAAGAGCUCGUAGGCGGUUUGGUAAGUCGGGUGUGAAAACCCCAGGCUCAACCUGGGGACGCCACCUGAUACUGCUAUGACUUGAGUCUGGUAGGGGACCACGGAAUUCCUGGUGUAGCGGUGAAAUGCGCAGAUAUCAGGAGGAACACCGAUUGCGAAGGCAGCUCGCUGGAACGUUACUGACGCUGAGACGCGAAAGCGUGGGGAGCAAACAGG
Molecule: ribosomal RNA, 254 nt
Filed under: uncultured bacterium
Lineage: Bacteria
Description: partial 16S ribosomal RNA
Rfam family: Bacterial small subunit ribosomal RNA
Source: RNAcentral